AACCCUACCCAUUUCGCCUCUGUUUUUCUCGCGUGAGACAGAGCGGGCGGUGAUUAACUGCGCCGGCGUUUUCGCGCCGCCGCGGGUGCCUUCGCCGGGUGGGUGCCUUCGCCGGCGAGCGCGUGCAGCCAAGGGCUUUGUGCGAUGCCUUGCGCGCGGCCUGGAGUGAAGCUGUGCUGCGCGCACGCGUUGGUGGUGGCGAGUCGGCUAUCUUGUCGGUGUAGAAGCCUCCAUUAGUCCCGGCGAGGCACAUCACGGGCAAACAUAACAUGGACCAAUACAGAAUGGAGUGAAUAUCUCCAAUCAUCACAUGGACAUUGUUGCAAUGCAGGGGAUGUCAGGAUGUCCAAUUGUGAAUGCAGGAGGCGCCAUUGGCAUGCUAAUCACUGGUCAGGGGGCGUACAGUAAUGCAGCCUCCAAUGACACAAUCUGCAGGUGAUGAAGCAAUACUACAGGAUCAGCCUGGGUUAGGCUAGACCCACUCUCAGCGACGCGGAGUUAGAUGCAACUGUCAAUCCCAUGACCAUAGAGGAGGUUGCUGCUUGAUGUGGACAUCCCUGCAAUAGAUACAACCACACCUAAUGGACAGCAAGCUUAUAUGACUAGUGACCAAGCUUACAUGCUUAAUUCUCAGGUAAAUUCAUUCUUAUGUUCUUGUCCAUUAUAUUUAGACAAUGGAAACGUGUGUGCUCUUGUUUUUCUUAGGAAUGAUGGAGAGGAUAAGAAUGGAAGGUCAUCUGCAUGGACUGAAUUCGACCACGACAUCAUUUGCGGAGCAAACAGAGCUGCUCAUUCUGUUUCCGACCUUUCGUGUAGCAACAAUGGAGGAGCGGCGAAUGGACCUCUUUAUUCCGUUUUGGACCUUUCGCGUAGCAGAAAUAGAGGAGGAGCGGACGGAGCUGUUCAUCCCGUUUCGGACGUCCCACACAGCAGAAGUUUCCAUCGAGCAUAACUCUUCACUUCGGAAGGUUGAUUGAGGUAAAUGAGUACUCGUUGAGAAGCUCUUGAGGUCUACUUUCAGAUGGAUCAAACCUCAUCAUCAGAUUCAUCCGGAGCUAAGAUUAAUCGCCAAAAUGACAGUCAGACUUCCAGACAUGGGCUGAGUCACUUGUACCUCCCACUAGGGGCCCAUUUUAAGUUAGGGUUUUGAUCUCAGCACCCCCUGGCAGCUCUCCCACCUAUAUAAACAAGUAGCAGCCACCAGAAAACACUUGGGUUCUGUUUUGUUGUAAGUUUAGCUUCUGCUACUUCCUGGUGAGCGCGUGUGUCGAUUAGACCACCCGUUUGCUUGAUUCAGAACCCCAAACUUGUGUGUAUCAGAUUCAUCCUUUGGGCAAGAUCUGUGUGCUGUUUGCUUGUCUA
Long non-coding RNA from Panicum virgatum (switchgrass), 1362 nucleotides. RefSeq lists it as uncharacterized. The record is from RefSeq and is a predicted model, not a curated record. The transcript is spliced from 3 exons. NCBI's taxonomy places the organism in Eukaryota, Viridiplantae, Streptophyta, Magnoliopsida, Poales, Poaceae.